Molecule: ribosomal RNA, 535 nt
Filed under: uncultured bacterium
Lineage: Bacteria
Description: bacterial SSU rRNA
Rfam family: Bacterial small subunit ribosomal RNA
Source: RNAcentral
AUAGAUACCCAGGUAGUCCACGCCGUAAACGAUGGAUACUAGCUGUUCGUCCGCCUCGGCGGAUGAGUGGCUAAGCGAAAGUGAUAAGUAUCCCACCUGGGGAGUACGAACGCAAGUUUGAAACUCAAAGGAAUUGACGGGGGCCCGCACAAGCGGUGGAGCAUGUGGUUUAAUUCGAUGAUACGCGAGGAACCUUACCAAGGCUUAAAUGUAGAUUGACAGGACUGGAAACAGUUUUUUCUUCGGACAAUUUACAAGGUGCUGCAUGGUUGUCGUCAGCUCGUGCCGUGAGGUGUCAGGUUAAGUCCUAUAACGAGCGCAACCCCUGUUGUUAGUUGCCAGCGAGUCAAGUCGGGAACUCUAACAAGACUGCCAGUGUAAACUGUGAGGAAGGUGGGGAUGACGUCAAAUCAUCACGGCCCUUACGCCUUGGGCUACACACGUGCUACAAUGGCCGGUACAGAGAGCAGCCACUGCGCGAGCAGGAGCGAAUCUAUAAAACCGGUCAACAGUUCGGAUCGGAGUCUGCAACUCG